GUUACUAGGGGACACUGUGACACAUGGGGACACUGUGAGACGUGGGGACACUGGGAGACUUGGGGACACUGGGGGACUCAGACUAUGUAUCGCAGUGUCCCUGUGUAUCACAGUGUCUCAGUGCCCCAUGUCUCCCAGUGUCCCCAUGUCUCCCAGUGUCCCCUAGUGUCUGUGUCCCCAUGUAACU
Non-coding RNA from Pelobates cultripes (western spadefoot toad), 187 nucleotides. The record is from the annotation of a GenBank genome assembly. Lineage: Eukaryota; Metazoa; Chordata; Amphibia; Anura; Pelobatidae.